UACAGAGGGUGCGAGCGUUAAUCGGAAUUACUGGGCGUAAAGCGCACGUAGGCGGCUUUGCAAGUCGGGUGUGAAAUCCCCGGGCUCAACCUGGGAACUGUAUCCGAGACUGCAUUGCUAGAGUAUGGGAGAGGGAAGCGGAAUUUCUGGUGUAGCAGUGAAAUGCGUAGAUAUCAGAAGGAACAUCAGUGGCGAAGGCGGCUUCCUGGACCAAUACUGACGAUCAGGUGCGAAAGCGUGGGGAGCAAACAGG
Molecule: ribosomal RNA, 253 nt
Filed under: uncultured bacterium
Lineage: Bacteria
Description: partial 16S ribosomal RNA
Rfam family: Bacterial small subunit ribosomal RNA
Source: RNAcentral